RNAcentral lists this ribosomal RNA (887 nucleotides) under Mucilaginibacter sp. MR1. Its description in RNAcentral is "bacterial SSU rRNA". It matches the Rfam family "Bacterial small subunit ribosomal RNA", at positions 100 to 988 of the family's 1533-position model. Lineage: Bacteria; Pseudomonadati; Bacteroidota; Sphingobacteriia; Sphingobacteriales; Sphingobacteriaceae. The record is from RNAcentral.
GCACGGGUGCGUAACACGUAUGCAACCUACCUUUACCAGGGGGAUAGCCUCUCGAAAGAGAGAUUAAGACCGCAUAAAAUCAGCUUGUGGCAUCACAGACUGAUCAAAUAUUUAUAGGGUAAAGAUGGGCAUGCGGAACAUUAGCUAGUUGGUAAGGUAACGGCUUACCAAGGCUACGAUGUUUAGGGGAUCUGAGAGGAUGACCCCCCACACUGGUACUGAGACACGGACCAGACUCCUACGGGAGGCAGCAGUAAGGAAUAUUGGUCAAUGGGCGGAAGCCUGAACCAGCCAUGCCGCGUGCAGGAAGACGGCCCUACGGGUUGUAAACUGCUUUUGUACGGGAAUAAACCCUGAUACGUGUAUCAGGCUGAAUGUACCGUAAGAAUAAGGAUCGGCUAACUCCGUGCCAGCAGCCGCGGUAAUACGGAGGAUCCGAGCGUUAUCCGGAUUUAUUGGGUUUAAAGGGUGCGUAGGCGGCUUUUUAAGUCAGGGGUGAAAGACGGCAGCUCAACUGUCGCAGUGCCUUUGAUACUGAAGAGCUUGAAUGUACUUGAGGUAGGCGGAAUGUGACAAGUAGCGGUGAAAUGCAUAGAUAUGUCACAGAACACCAAUUGCGAAGGCAGCUUACUAAAGUAUGAUUGACGCUGAGGCACGAAAGCGUGGGGAUCAAACAGGAUUAGAUACCCUGGUAGUCCACGCCCUAAACGAUGAACACUCGAUGUUGGCGAUAUACGGUCAGCGUCUAAGCGAAAGCGUUAAGUGUUCCACCUGGGGAGUACGCCCGCAAGGGUGAAACUCAAAGGAAUUGACGGGGGCCCGCACAAGCGGAGGAGCAUGUGGUUUAAUUCGAUGAUACGCGAGGAACCUUACCCGGGCUUGAAAGU